AACCAUCUCAAGUUAAAACAUAUGAAAUAUUUCAUUAGGAUGCUAAAGGAAAUAAUCCCUGUGCUUUCUUUCUGUCUUUACAGCAGCCAAGAUUGAAUUGGGGAAUACAUCU
Small nucleolar RNA from Cavia aperea (Brazilian guinea pig), 112 nucleotides. The record is from Ensembl. NCBI's taxonomy places the organism in Eukaryota, Metazoa, Chordata, Mammalia, Rodentia, Caviidae.